GACGGGGACCCGCACAAGCAGCGGAGCAUGUGGUUUAAUUCGAAGCAACGCGAAGAACCUUACCAGAUCUUGACAUCCAAUUGACCACCUUUUAAUCGAGAUUUUGCCUUCGGGUACAAUUGAGACAGGUGGUGCAUGGUUGUCGUCAGCUCGUGUCGUGAGAUGUUGGGUAAGUCCCGCAACGAGCGCAACCCUUGUGUUUAGUUGUAAACAGGUCAAGCUGUGCACUCUAGACAGACUGCCGUGGACAACACGGAGGAAGGUGGGGAUGACGUCAAGUCAUCAUGGCCCUUAUGUCCAGGGCGACACACGUGCUACAAUGGCCGGCACAACGGGAAGCGAGUUCGCGAGGACGAGCGGAUCCCUUAAAGCCGGUCGCAGUUCGGAUUGAAGUCUGCAGCUCGACUUCAUGAAGCUGGAAUCGCUAGUAAUCGUGGAUCAGCCAAGCCGCGGUGAAUACGUUCCCGGGCCUU
This 473-nucleotide ribosomal RNA is filed under the name uncultured Fusibacter sp. RNAcentral describes it as "bacterial SSU rRNA". It matches the Rfam family "Bacterial small subunit ribosomal RNA", at positions 912 to 1382 of the family's 1533-position model. The record is from RNAcentral. Lineage: Bacteria; Bacillati; Bacillota; Clostridia; Eubacteriales; Fusibacteraceae.